Non-coding RNA from Arachis ipaensis, 128 nucleotides. Lineage: Eukaryota; Viridiplantae; Streptophyta; Magnoliopsida; Fabales; Fabaceae. The record is from RefSeq and is a predicted model, not a curated record.
CUUCAUUUUCAACGUGAAUGAGUGCUUAGUGAGGAGAGAGAAAAGAGCUCGGAUAUGGAGGAGUGGGUUAAGGAGAAACUGAGCUUGCAGGAGGCACUGAAAAAGUCUGAGGAGAGAGAAAAGAGUUU